UACGGAGGGCGCGAGCGUUGUCCGGAAUCACUGGGCGUAAAGGGCGCGUAGGCGGCCCUGGUAAGUCUGCGGUGAAAGCCCGGGGCUCAACCCCGGGUCGGCCGCGGGUACUGCCGGGCUGGAGUGCCGUAGGGGCAGGCGGAAUUCCGGGUGUAGCGGUGGAAUGCGCAGAUAUCAGGAGGAACACCGAUGGCGAAGGCAGUGGUCUGGGCCGAUACUGACGCUGAGGAGCGAAAGCGUGGGGAGCGAACAGG
This 254-nucleotide ribosomal RNA is filed under the name uncultured bacterium. RNAcentral describes it as "partial 16S ribosomal RNA". It matches the Rfam family "Bacterial small subunit ribosomal RNA", at positions 524 to 776 of the family's 1533-position model. The record is from RNAcentral.